Molecule: small RNA, 1046 nt
Filed under: uncultured Denitratisoma sp.
Lineage: Bacteria; Pseudomonadati; Pseudomonadota; Betaproteobacteria; Nitrosomonadales; Sterolibacteriaceae
Description: bacterial SSU rRNA
Rfam family: Bacterial small subunit ribosomal RNA (bases 1-468)
Source: RNAcentral
GUCGUGAGAUGUUGGGUUAAGUCCCGCAACGAGCGCAACCCUUGUCAUUAAUUGCCAUCAUUUAGUUGGGCACUUUAAUGAGACUGCCGGUGACAAACCGGAGGAAGGUGGGGAUGACGUCAAGUCCUCAUGGCCCUUAUGGGUAGGGCUUCACACGUCAUACAAUGGUCGGUACAGAGGGUUGCCAAGCAGCGAUGCGGAGCCAAUCCCAGAAAGCCGAUCGUAGUCCGGAUCGGAGUCUGCAACUCGACUCCGUGAAGUCGGAAUCGCUAGUAAUCGCGGAUCAGCAUGUCGCGGUGAAUACGUUCCCGGGUCUUGUACACACCGCCCGUCACACCAUGGGAGUGGGUAUUACCAGAAGCAGGUAGCCUAACCGCAAGGAGGGCGCUUGCCACGGUAGGAUUCAUGACUGGGGUGAAGUCGUAACAAGGUAGCCGUAUCGGAAGGUGCGGCUGGAUCACCUCCUUUCUAGAGAUCCUGUAUGAAUUGAGCAUCCACAACCUAUCGGUUGUUUAGCAGUCCUUGAGAGGGGGUCUGUAGCUCAGCUGGUUAGAGCACCGUCUUGAUAAGGCGGGGGUCGAUGGUUCGAACCCAUCCAGACCCACCACGACGCGUUAUCGGGGGUGUAGCUCAGUUGGGAGAGCGCCUGCUUUGCAAGCAGGAGGUCAUCGGUUCGAUCCCGUUCACCUCCACCACUAUCAAGAGAGAGAUCAGAAGCAAGUGAACGGAAGUUUGCUUGCUUCUGGCCUUUAGCCGGAGGCUGUUGAUCUUUAAAAAUUUGGAAGAAGUAAAGUGUGUUGGUCCGAGAGGGCCGACGCAUGGGUUGUGAUUGUAUCUGACCGCAUUCUGUGGCUAACCAGCCUAUGGGGUGCGGGCACAAGCGCGAGAAAGCCUAUGGCUGUUCUGUCUUAGGGCAGAGCUUAAGGUUAUAGGGUCAAGCGAAUAAGUGCAUGUGGUGGAUGCCUUGGCGAUCACAGGCGAAGAAGGACGUUGUAGCGUGCGAAAAGCCGCGGGGAGCUCGCAAACAAGCUUUGAUCCGCGGAUAU